UGAAGUUUUCGGAUGGAUUUAAAACAGCUUAGUGGCGGACGGGUGAGUAACGCGUGGGUAACCUGCCUCACACUGGGGGAUAACAGUUAGAAAUAGCUGCUAAUACCGCAUAAGCGCACAGGAUCGCAUGAUCCGGUGUGAAAAACUCUGGUGGUAUGGGAUGGACCCGCGUCUGAUUAGCCAGUUGGCAGGGUAACGGCCUACCAAAGCGACGAUCAGUAGCCGACCUGAGAGGGUGACCGGCCACAUUGGGACUGAGACACGGCCCAAACUCC
Molecule: ribosomal RNA, 275 nt
Filed under: uncultured Lachnospiraceae bacterium
Lineage: Bacteria; Bacillati; Bacillota; Clostridia; Lachnospirales; Lachnospiraceae
Description: partial 16S ribosomal RNA
Rfam family: Bacterial small subunit ribosomal RNA
Source: RNAcentral